AAGAUACUAGUAUAACCGAAAUACACUGCCUUGUCAAGGCAGAAUUGUGGGUUAAAUCCCCGCGUAUCUUG
This 71-nucleotide transfer RNA is filed under the name Callogobius maculipinnis. Its description in RNAcentral is "tRNA-Asp". It matches the Rfam family "tRNA". From Rfam's summary of the family: Transfer RNA (tRNA) molecules are approximately 80 nucleotides in length. Their secondary structure includes four short double-helical elements and three loops (D, anti-codon, and T loops). Further hydrogen bonds mediate the characteristic L-shaped molecular structure. tRNAs have two regions of fundamental functional importance: the anti-codon, which is responsible for specific mRNA codon recognition, and the 3' end, to which the tRNAs corresponding amino acid is attached (by aminoacyl-tRNA synthetases). tRNAs cope with the degeneracy of the genetic code in two manners: having more than one tRNA (with a specific anti-codon) for a particular amino acid; and 'wobble' base-pairing, i.e. permitting non-standard base-pairing at the 3rd anti-codon position. The record is from RNAcentral. Lineage: Eukaryota; Metazoa; Chordata; Actinopteri; Gobiiformes; Gobiidae. RNAcentral also lists the same sequence under 1 other name.